UACGGAGGGUGCAAGCGUUGUCCGGAUUUAUUGGGCGUAAAGAGCUCGUAGGUGGCUUGUCACGUCGGGUGUGAAAGCUUGGGGCUUAACUCCAGGUCUGCAUUCGAUACGGGCUGGCUAGAGGUAGGUAGGGGAGAACGGAAUUCCUGGUGUAGCGGUGAAAUGCGCAGAUAUCAGGAGGAACACCGGUGGCGAAGGCGGUUCUCUGGGCCUUACCUGACGCUGAGGAGCGAAAGCGUGGGGAGCGAACAGG
This 253-nucleotide ribosomal RNA is filed under the name uncultured bacterium. Its description in RNAcentral is "partial 16S ribosomal RNA". It matches the Rfam family "Bacterial small subunit ribosomal RNA", at positions 524 to 776 of the family's 1533-position model. The record is from RNAcentral.